CAAUUACUUUCUCGCAGGAUAUAUAAGGAAAUAUGAUUAAGCAUUUAUUCAGAAUGGAAUAUUUCAAUACAACUGUUCAACUCGAUUGAGACAAAUUCAAGACUUCUAAACACAAUACAAGCGCUAU
Molecule: long non-coding RNA, 127 nt
Organism: Osmia bicornis bicornis
Lineage: Eukaryota; Metazoa; Arthropoda; Insecta; Hymenoptera; Megachilidae
Exons: 2
Source: RefSeq, a predicted model, not a curated record